AGUGAACGCUGGCGGUAGGCCUAACACAUGCAAGUCGAACGGCAGCACAGUAAGAGCUUGCUCUUACGGGUGGCGAGUGGCGGACGGGUGAGGAAUACAUCGGAAUCUACUUUUUCGUGGGGGAUAACGUAGGGAAACUUACGCUAAUACCGCAUACGACCUACGGGUGAAAGCAGGGGAUCUUCGGACCUUGCGCGAUUGAAUGAGACGAUGUCGGAUUAGCUAGUUGGCGGGGUAAAGGCCCACCAAGGCGACGAUCCGUAGCUGGUCUGAGAGGAUGAUCAGCCACACUGGAACUGAGACACGGUCCAGACUCCUACGGGAGGCAGCAGUGGGGAAUAUUGGACAAUGGGCGCAAGCCUGAUCCAGCCAUGCCGCGUGGGUGAAGAAGGUCUUCGGGUUGUAAAGCCCUUUUGUUGGGAAAGAAAAGCAGCAGGUUAAUACCCCGCUGUUUUGACGGUACCCAAAGAAUAAGCACCGGCUAACUUCGUG
Molecule: ribosomal RNA, 492 nt
Filed under: uncultured bacterium
Lineage: Bacteria
Description: partial 16S ribosomal RNA
Rfam family: Bacterial small subunit ribosomal RNA
Source: RNAcentral